GUUACCGUAGAAAUCCUACUGUUAGAGUAGCUCGGACAUUGAUGAAGUUUGGAAGAAGUUCGGAGUAAAAUCAUUCGUGGCUGGAAGAAGUCUGGAAGAGAUUCGGAGAAUGGUCGAUCAUUGUAGAAAACCAGCUGAUCAUGAAGCCCAAAGAGCAUUUGGAGUAGUUCAGUAGAUGAAUGGGAGAGGUCAUUAUCGGAGAAGUCCAGAUGGUAUUAUGGAAGCUCAGAUGGUCGAGGGAGUUCAGAAAGAUGCCAU
RNAcentral lists this long non-coding RNA (258 nucleotides) under Elaeis guineensis (African oil palm). RNAcentral describes it as "long non-coding RNA (EGUI_LNC057960)". Lineage: Eukaryota; Viridiplantae; Streptophyta; Magnoliopsida; Arecales; Arecaceae. The record is from RNAcentral.